CUUCCUUGGGCUCGCAGUAGUCUGUGAGACUUACUGUGUGGUUAUUGUGCGAUUUACUGUGUGAUCUACUUCGUGACUUGUAGGACGUGACCGGCGGGGCGCCGCUGGCAACUUCUCCUCGCGCCUGAGGUCGGCGGUGUUGCAAGCGGAGAAUUGUGGAAAUUCACACAACAAGAUGGUCUGAGCCGAGGUUUGAUCCCAGGUCUGCAGGUCGCCGGUCUGCGUCCUUCUCCACCGGGUCAUCUUCAGUACCGUUGAACACAAACAACCAGAGAGGAAGAAGAUCAGACUGAGAGAGGAACCUGCAGAAGAUUCACCUCCACCAGAUGGAUGGACUUCCUGGCUUUUGAUCAUCUAAUCUUUUGGUUGUUGAGCUGCUCAUCUCAUCAUUUAUAUAAUAAAGCAACUCGAAACUG
Micropterus dolomieu (smallmouth bass) is the source of this 416-nucleotide long non-coding RNA. RefSeq lists it as uncharacterized. Lineage: Eukaryota; Metazoa; Chordata; Actinopteri; Centrarchiformes; Centrarchidae. The record is from RefSeq and is a predicted model, not a curated record. The transcript is spliced from 3 exons.